This 468-nucleotide ribosomal RNA is filed under the name uncultured bacterium. Its description in RNAcentral is "partial 16S ribosomal RNA". It matches the Rfam family "Bacterial small subunit ribosomal RNA", at positions 28 to 523 of the family's 1533-position model. The record is from RNAcentral.
GAUGGACGCUGGCGGCGUGCCUAACACAUGCAAGUCGAGCGAUCUUCUUCGGAAGAGAGCGGCGGACGGGUGAGUAACGCGUGGGUAACCUGCCUCAUACACAUGGAUAACAUACCGAAAGGUAUGCUAAUACAAGAUGAUAUAAGAGAUUCGCAUGGCUUUCUUAUCAAAGCUCCGGCGGUAUGAGAUGGACCCGCGUCUGAUUAGCUAGUUGUUAAGGUAACGGCUUACCAAGGCGACGAUCAGUAGACGACCUGAGAGGGUGAUCGGCCACAUUGGAACUGAGACACUGUCCAAACUGCUACGGGAGGCAGCAGUGGGAAAUAUUGCACAAUGGGCGAAAGCCUGAUUCAGCAACGCCGCGUGAGCGAUGAAGGCCUUCGGGUCGUAAAGCUCUGUCCUCAAGGAAGAUAAUGACGGUACUUGAGGAGGAAGCCCCGGCUAACUACGUGCCAGCCGCCGCCGUAA